This 490-nucleotide ribosomal RNA is filed under the name uncultured bacterium. RNAcentral describes it as "partial 16S ribosomal RNA". It matches the Rfam family "Bacterial small subunit ribosomal RNA", at positions 30 to 507 of the family's 1533-position model. The record is from RNAcentral.
AUUGAACGCUGGCGGCAGGCCUAACACAUGCAAGUCGAACGGUAACAGGAAACAGCUUGCUGUUUCGCUGACGAGUGGCGGACGGGUGAGUAAUGUCUGGGAAACUGCCUGAUGGAGGGGGAUAACUACUGGAAACGGUAGCUACUACCGCAUAACGUCGCAAGACCAAAGAGGGGGACCCUCGGGCCUCUUGCCAUCGGCUGUGCCCAGAUGGGAUUAGCUUGUUGGUGGGGUAACGGCUCACCAAGGCGACGAUCCCUAGCUGGUCUGAGAGGAUGACCAGCCACACUGGAACUGAGACACGGUCCAGACUCCUACGGGAGGCAGCAGUGGGGAAUAUUGCACAAUGGGCGCAAGCCUGAUGCAGCCAUGCCGCGUGUAUGAAGAAGGCCUUCGGGCUGUAAAGUACUUUCAGCGGGGAGGAAGGGAGUAAAGUUAAUACCUUUGCUCAUUGACGUUACCCGCAGAAGAAGCACCGGCUAACUCCGUG